Molecule: ribosomal RNA, 496 nt
Filed under: uncultured bacterium
Lineage: Bacteria
Description: bacterial SSU rRNA
Rfam family: Bacterial small subunit ribosomal RNA
Source: RNAcentral
ACUCAAAUGAAUAGACGGGGGCCCGCACAAGCGGUGGAGCAUGUGGUUUAAUUCGAUGAUACGCGAGGAACCUUACCAGGGCUUAAAUGUAGUGGGACAGGCUUGGAAACAGGCCCUUCUUCGGACUCAUUACAAGGUGCUGCAUGGUUGUCGUCAGCUCGUGCCGUGAGGUGUCAGGUUAAGUCCUAUAACGAGCGCAACCCCUGUUGUUAGUUGCCAGCGAGUAAUGUCGGGAACUCUAACAAAACUGCCGGUGCAAACCGUGAGGAAGGUGGGGAUGACGUCAAAUCAUCACGGCCCUUACGUCCUGGGCUACACACGUGCUACAAUGGCCGGUACAGAGAGCAGCCACUGGGCGACCAGGAGCGAAUCUAUAAAGCCGGUCACAGUUCGGAUUGGAGUCUGCAACCCGACUCCAUGAAGCUGGAAUCGCUAGUAAUCGGAUAUCAGCCAUGAUCCGGUGAAUACGUUCCCGGGCCUUGUACACACCGCCCGU